CAGCCGCCGCGGGAAUACGUAGGUGGCAAGCGUUGUCCGGAAUUAUUGGGCGUAAAGGGCUCGCAGGCGGUUUCUUAAGUCUGAUGUGAAAGCCCCCGGCUCAACCGGGGAGGGUCAUUGGAAACUGGGAAACUUGAGUGCAGAAGAGGAGAGUGGAAUUCCACGUGUAGCGGUGAAAUGCGUAGAGAUGUGGAGGAACACCAGUGGCGAAGGCGACUCUCUGGUCUGUAACUGACGCUGAGGAGCGAAAGCGUGGGGAGCGAACAGGAUUAGAUACCCCAGUAGUCCCUGUCUCUUAUAU
This 301-nucleotide ribosomal RNA is filed under the name uncultured bacterium. RNAcentral's name for it is "partial 16S ribosomal RNA". It matches the Rfam family "Bacterial small subunit ribosomal RNA", at positions 509 to 809 of the family's 1533-position model. The record is from RNAcentral.